Molecule: unclassified non-coding RNA, 336 nt
Filed under: soil metagenome
Description: partial contains 5.8S ribosomal RNA, internal transcribed spacer 2, and large subunit ribosomal RNA
Rfam family: 5.8S ribosomal RNA (bases 1-120)
Source: RNAcentral
GAUGAAGAACGUAGCGAAAUGCGAUAAGUAAUGUGAAUUGCAGAAUUCAGUGAAUCAUCGAAUCUUUGAACGCACAUUGCGCCCGCCAGUAUUCUGGCGGGCAUGCCUGUUCGAGCGUCAUUUCAACCAUCAAGCCCCAGGCUUGUGUUGGGGACCUGCGGCUGCCGCAGGCCCUGAAAACCAGUGGCGGGCUCGCUGUCACACCGGGCGUAGUAGAUUUUAUCUCGCUCUGGGCGUGCUGCGGGUUCCGGCCGUUAAAAAACCCUUUUAACGCAAGGUUGACCUCGGAUCAGGUAGGAAUACCCGCUGAACUUAAGCAUAUCAAUAAGCGGAGGA